GUCAUGUUAAUUUUGCUUUAUUACAGAUCUAAACUGAAAUGUUACAAAGACUCUUUUCAGUUUUUGUUGCAUUUUUCACUGCAUAUUUCACGCUGUUAGCUGCAGACUCUGACACGUGUGUAUUUGUCUCGACACACCAGUAUAUACAUAGCAUGGACUAUAAAAAGCUGCUUGCAAAAACCAGGAUGCAGUGUACUGAACAGAAAUCAG
Long non-coding RNA from Pecten maximus, 210 nucleotides. RefSeq lists it as uncharacterized. The record is from RefSeq and is a predicted model, not a curated record. The transcript is spliced from 3 exons. NCBI's taxonomy places the organism in Eukaryota, Metazoa, Mollusca, Bivalvia, Pectinida, Pectinidae.